AGCGAACGUUUGCGGCGGGCCUAACACAUGCAAGUCGAACGCACUAGCAAUAGUGAGUGGCGCACGGGUGCGUAACACGUGGGUAAUCAACCCUUCAGCUUGGGAUAACGACUUGAAAGGGUCGCUAAUACCGGAUACGGCGCGGGAGGCUUCGGCUUCUCACGAGAAAGCCUCGCAAGGGGCACUGAAGGACGAGCCUGCGGCCCAUCAGCUAGUUGGUGAGGUAAGAGCUCACCAAGGCGAAGACGGGUAGCUGGUCUGAGAGGAUGAUCAGCCACACUGGAACUGAGACACGGUCCAGACUCCUACGGGAGGCAGCAGUGGGGAAUAUUGCGCAAUGGGCGAAAGCCUGACGCAGCCACGCCGCGUGAGCGAUGAAGGCCUUCGGGUCGUAAAGCUCUGUGGGGAGAGACGAAGAAAGCCGUGAAGAGCGGGCCUUGACGGUAUCUCCUUAGCAAGCACCGGCUAACUCCGUGCCAGCAGCCGCGGU
This 490-nucleotide ribosomal RNA is filed under the name uncultured bacterium. Its description in RNAcentral is "bacterial SSU rRNA". It matches the Rfam family "Bacterial small subunit ribosomal RNA", at positions 29 to 521 of the family's 1533-position model. The record is from RNAcentral.